This 442-nucleotide ribosomal RNA is filed under the name uncultured bacterium. RNAcentral describes it as "partial 16S ribosomal RNA". It matches the Rfam family "Bacterial small subunit ribosomal RNA", at positions 338 to 795 of the family's 1533-position model. The record is from RNAcentral.
CCUACGGGAGGCAGCAGUGGGGAAUAUUGGGCAAUGGGCGCAAGCCUGACCCAGCAACGCCGCGUGAAGGAAGAAGGCUUUCGGGUUGUAAACUUCUUUUAAGAGGGAAGAGCAGAAGACGGUACCUCUUGAAUAAGCCACGGCUAACUACGUGCCAGCAGCCGCGGUAAUACGGAGGUGGCAAGCGUUGUCCGGAUUUACUGGGGGUAAAGGGCGUGCAGCCGGGAAGACAAGUCAGAGGGGAAAUCCCGCGGCUCAACCGCGGAACUGCAUUUGAAACUGUUUUUCUUGAGUACCGGAGAGGUCAUCGGAAUUCGUGGUGUAGCGGUGAAAUGCGUAGAUAUAAGGAAGAACACCAGUGGCGAAGGCGGAUGACUGGACGGCAACUGACGGUGAGGCGCGAAAGCGUGGGGAGCAAACAGGAUUAGAUACCCGAGUAGUC